Molecule: transfer RNA, 75 nt
Filed under: Rhyticeros undulatus (Wreathed hornbill)
Lineage: Eukaryota; Metazoa; Chordata; Aves; Bucerotiformes; Bucerotidae
Description: tRNA-Trp
Rfam family: tRNA
About the family: Transfer RNA (tRNA) molecules are approximately 80 nucleotides in length. Their secondary structure includes four short double-helical elements and three loops (D, anti-codon, and T loops).
Source: RNAcentral
AGAAACUUAGGAUAAUCCCCCUUAAACCGAAGGCCUUCAAAGCCUUAAAUAAGAGUUAAACCCUCUUAGUUUCUG